UCCAGGAUAGCCUAGUGGACAUGGCACCUGCCCGGUAAGCAGAAGGUUGUGGGUUCGAUUCCCGCUCCUUGGAC
Non-coding RNA from Cordylochernes scorpioides, 74 nucleotides. Lineage: Eukaryota; Metazoa; Arthropoda; Arachnida; Pseudoscorpiones; Chernetidae. The record is from the annotation of a GenBank genome assembly.